Phlebotomus argentipes is the source of this 3297-nucleotide RNA transcript. It is a transcript of the gene named eukaryotic peptide chain release factor subunit 1, with no coding region annotated. The transcript has 7 exons. The record is from RefSeq and is a predicted model, not a curated record. NCBI's taxonomy places the organism in Eukaryota, Metazoa, Arthropoda, Insecta, Diptera, Psychodidae.
UUUCGCCAUCUCUCUUUUAUUUGGACGUUCCACAUGUUGAAGAAUCAGUGCAAGUAAAUUCCUAAUGUAUACGCUCGUACUGUUCAAAAUCCGGCGAAAAACCCAGUUCUAAGUGUAGAGCGAGUGUGAACGUUGCAUAAUCCGGUGGAGGAUCACGCGAAGAGGCGCCGCGGAGACGGAAAAGCGCGAGGGAAAAGAGGUUGAAUAAUUCCUCGUGGGAAGUGGAGAAUAGCCAUUGGGGCCCCGUUUGUCUGCCGUGUGCCAGAGUGAGACGGCGCGAGAGUACUCUCUUCAAGAACGCCAUUUUGCCACGAAACCCUUUUUUUACACGACCCGGAGAGAGACACUCUCCUGUGCACAGCGCGACUGAGGUGUCCAGGAGAUUAUCCAGUGUGUGUUCACCCGGAGUGUGUGCGGUUCGGUUGAUUGAGAAGGAAUCAUAGGCAUCCCAGGGACAGCGAAAAUGUCGAACGAGGAGACGUCCGCUGAUCGCAAUGUGGAGAUCUGGAAGAUUAAGAAGCUCAUCAAGAGUCUGGAGAUGGCCAGAGGGAACGGCACCAGCAUGAUAUCGCUGAUCAUCCCGCCCAAGGAUCAAAUCUCGCGCGUGAGCAAGAUGUUGGCUGAUGAAUUUGGCACGGCGUCCAAUAUCAAGUCACGCGUGAAUCGACUGUCCGUGUUGGGUGCCAUCACAUCAGUGCAGCAUAGACUUAAAUUGUACACCAAAGUGCCUCCAAAUGGUCUCGUGAUCUACUGUGGAACGAUUGUGACGGAGGAGGGCAAGGAGAAGAAGGUGAACAUUGAUUUUGAGCCAUUCAAGCCGAUCAAUACCUCGCUAUACCUCUGCGACAACAAAUUCCACACGGAGGCACUCACGGCCCUCCUGGCGGAUGACAAUAAAUUCGGUUUCAUCGUGAUGGACGGCAAUGGAGCGCUAUUUGGCACGCUGCAGGGCAACACGCGCGAGGUGCUGCACAAGUUCACGGUGGAUCUGCCGAAGAAGCACGGCCGCGGUGGACAGUCGGCGCUGCGUUUCGCCCGGUUGCGCAUGGAGAAGCGGCACAACUACGUGCGGAAGGUGGCCGAGGUGGCCAUUCAGCUGUACAUCACGAUUGACAAGCCAAAUAUCGCCGGACUCAUCCUGGCUGGUAGUGCCGACUUCAAGACCGAGCUCAGCCAAUCCGACAUGUUCGACAGUCGACUGGCCACGCGAAUCAUCAAACUUGUGGACGUGUCGUAUGGCGGUGAGAAUGGAUUCAAUCAGGCAAUCGAACUGGCUGCAGAGUCCCUGGCCAAUGUGAAGUUCAUCCAGGAGAAGAAACUCAUUGGACGAUACUUCGACGAGAUAUCACAGGACACUGGCAAGUACUGUUUUGGCGUUGAGGAUACUCUGAAGGCCCUCGAAUUGGGCGCCGUAGAAAUACUAAUUUGCUGGGAGAAUCUGGAUAUUCAGCGGUAUGUGUUGAAGAAUCAUGCAAACUCCACGUCAACAACAGUAUUGCAUUUGACGCCGGAACAGGAAAAGGAUAAAUCUCAUUUUACUGACAAGGAAAGUGGAGUGGAGAUGGAGCUCGUGGAGGCACAACCGCUGCUGGAGUGGUUGGCCAAUAACUACAAGAGCUUUGGUGCUACGCUCGAAAUUAUCACGGACAAGUCGCAAGAGGGAAGUCAAUUUGUUCGAGGAUUUGGCGGGAUUGGAGGCAUAUUGCGCUAUAAAGUUGAUUUCCAAUCACUCCAAGCGGAUGAGCCACUCGAUGAUGUGGAUCUCGAUGACUAUUAAGAAAAACACACAAACAGACACACACACACACUGACAUAAUAAUAUAAAAGAAAAACUAUCGAAAAGUAUCUCUGAAUUAGGUCUACUGCAAAAUGAUGAUUAAAAAAAAAUUGUAUUGAACCAUCCAGUGUCUCUCGAUUCUGAGAGGGCAGAGAAAGAGUUGAUAAGCUAUCUUUAAAAAAGAAGAAGAAGAAGAAGAAAUGGUGGCUGAGAGGAAAAGGAAAUGUUAGAUAAGAGAAAAAGACAGUAAUUAAGCGACAAAUUAAUUUAACGCGACUUUUCGAUUGAUUUGCAUAAAUAAUAAGAUGGUUUUUCCUUGAGUUUGAGUGUGUGUACAUUUUCUUUCUUAAAAACGAAAAAAAUAAGAAUGCAAAAGGGGAAAGUAUUCAUCUUGUUUGCAACUUUGUUAAGGUAUUUUGCGCUACAAAGUAGACUUCCAGAGUAUGCAACUAGAUGAUAUGGAUACUGAACUCUUCGAUUUAGAUGAUUACUAAGAAUGGAAAAGAAAUCGCUGUGAGGAUAUAUUGCGACACAACGUGAAAAAGAGAGAGAGGAUUUAAAUGCGGAAAGGAAGUAAGGAAGAUAAAAAGCAACACUUUGGAUUGCGAUUUGUGAAUAUGAAUCAUUUGUGUUAUCAACGUAUAAAACAGAUAUGAUUUUUCUGCUGUCUGAAGAGAGAGAGAAAGUUCGUUUUAGGCAAAAGUAUGUAGAGAAAUUGUGGUGAAACAUUUGUGUGUGAAGAGGAUGAAAAAAAAAAUGUGUGAGAGAAUCAUUAAAGAAAAAAGAAAAACACAAGAAAAUUAUACUUACAAUACGUACGCUCUGAAGAAUUCUACUUAUCGCUCAGCAUAUUUCGAAAGUCACCCUUAUUUUGCAUUGAGUGCAAUAAUAUUAAAAAAAAAUGUUUUACUAUCAUCCCCAGAUUUUUAAGAAAAUGUUCAUAUUUUUAAAUGUUCCUCCCCCCCCUUUUUUAGGCACCACAGAGAGAAAACAAUGCAGAGCUUUUCACUUAAUGAAAGAAAAAAAAACCGAAUCGUUCUCUUAUCACCUCUGUAUAAAGUUAUAUGAAACAGAAAAAUAGAAACAAUAUAAUACGAAUUGACAAAAGCGAAAAGUAUGAUUUUGUAAAUAAAUGUGGAAUAUUAUAUACAAGUAUAAUGAUUAUAAAUGAAGUAAAUCAAGAUAAAGUGAAAGGAGAAAGCACACAAUUCGAUUGCGAACAUUUUCCCAGCCACAAUAAUAAUAAUAAUAUUUUGUUAUUUAACGAAAAGUGCUAAAAACAUGAAUUAAUUGACGAGAUGUGGAGAGUGAGGAGAGAAACUAUAAAAAAAAACAGCGUAGUUCGUCAGUGAAGAGGAAAAAUCCACUAAUUGAAGCUGAUUUAAUAUGUUAUUGAACAGAAAUCUGAUGUGUGUAACAUUUAAAAGAAGCAAACUAUUUACAUUUAAUUUGUGUGGCAGCAGCAAUUUGGUAAGAAAAAGAAAUGAAGAAACAGAAUAAACGGUCAUUUAUACAGAAAA